AAAAAUGCUCUUUAAGAAAAAAAAAUCCUCAAAAAUCUUAUUUGCAAUGCUUAAGUUACAUUGCAUGACAUUAUAUACUUACAUUACAUUAACUUACAUUACUUAACAAUCAUAUUAUAUCUGAUCCACAAACAAGUUAGAGUUGUCAGAUCUAGCCAGCUCCUAAAUAUCCAACCAUACAUUUCAAAAACAUUAAAUUUUCUUUCAGAAAAUCGAAGGAUAUACCUUUAAUAUGUGCACUAAUCCAUCAACUGAUCAAAUUUGAAUUGGUCCAAUCGCAACCGUCGACGACCAAUCAUUUUGAAAUGAUCAUUUUUCACACUUCAUGGAUCUGUUUCAAAAAACAUGAAUUGUACCCACCCUGCCGACACUAUUCAGAAACCAUUAAUCAAGGUCAAAGCUGGCCGCACAAUUUGAAGUUCCGCUAAUCAUGCCAUUUGGGACCAUUUGCUUUCCAAUUUUGCUCUAUAUUGUUCCCAAAUUUCCUUUGGGAUAAAAAUGGAGAGACUUUCAAAAUAUUCGAUCUUGAAACGUUUCACAGAAGGGCCGAGAAAUAGAAGAGAUGAAAGGCCAAAGGCAUGUGUCUUCUGGCCUUAGGGAAGGUCGAGGGUUCUUCAGUCUUCUGCGCACAUACUACUUGACCAUGGAUCACGUAGUCUGUUUUUAAGUUGUGCAACGGAAGCUUCAAAAUCGUCCUUCAUUGGAAAAUGUGCUCCAAUUCUUUCCAACACCUGUUCCAAGUUCUUUUCAAACAAUGGCGGACUUGCCGUUGUGUUUUGGACUCAUUCACGUGGAUGAUUUGAGACAAGAGCUUCAAACGUUCGCAUAAGUUGGGAAAAUAGCUUUGAUUGAACCACUUUGUCCUGACAUUUGGUUGGUUGAGUGAACCGACAGAACCGUUAAAAUUACUCACGCCUUCGCUUCUUCCAAACUGAUUUCCAUAUAAUUAUUCAACAUUGAUUGCAGCUGUUACAACAAAAAUAUGAAGCUGCGACAAGGCCAACUUGCUCGGCCAUGAAAAAAGGCUUCCUAUUUACCCCGGGGGCUCAAAUCGAGGCAUUGGUUGUGCAUCUCAAGGCUCCAGUCCCACCAAUCAAUCUUAAGAGGGUUGGCAGGGCAAUUUCCGUGCUUUCGGCUACAUUCAACCAAUACCAAAAUUACGACGUGAGUAAAUUGGUUUAAGGGAAGCUAUUGCAACAAAGAAACUUUCAAAACCAUGUCCUGAGAUUAUAUUGAACCCACGAUCCCACAUUGUGGGUGCACAACCAAUGAUUAAACACUGGGAAGAGCCCAAAGGCUAGCUCAGUUCAGGAAAGUGAAUUGGCAGAUGCAUCUUCUUUUGACAGUGAAAUAUUUUCUCAUAGAUUCUCGGAAAAGCUUGAAAAGGUUUUAGACCCAUUAUUUUGGAACGAUUGCAACAUAGCAUCAGACUGCACCUACCCAAUAACCUCGUCGAGUUUUUUCAAAACACUCUAAUGGAAUCAAGGCUUUCACGCAAGCUGAUCCAGCCGCUUGACAAAAUUCAAUUCACAAAUUCUUUCAAAUGUACAAUAUAUCUCAGCUUUUUUAGCCUGAAUUAAUUGCCACAAAUCUGAAAACAAAGACUUACAUUUCUAAUCAGAUUUCAUCCUUUUUUGCAUUUAUGCUGUGCAAAAUUGAGCCUAAUAAGACACUGUCUGGAAUCAUUAAACAAGUUACAAGAACAUUGCGAUAGUUGAAGGAAAUGAAUCAAACCUUACAUAUAUCAGAAACAGCCAGAUUUAGGAUGAAGAUGUUCCUUGCGGUCCACAUGUAUUUCCUCCUGACCACGGUCCAGAUCACCAAAGCAUUUCCCAAGAAGGUCAACAAGAUCAGAAUGGCGUAUGAGAGGGCCGAAAUGGCAUACCAAGGCUGAUGAAGGGCACGGUUCAAGUCAUACAUAUACAGAAGAUCGUCGGUAUUUGCAUCACCGCUCAUGAUUUGAGAUCUAUUUGUGCACUGAGAGAGCAAUCCUGGGUCUCAUAAAUGGCGCACAAUGUCGACUAACUUCCACGAGCAACCUGAAGAUUGGAGAGAAAGAGAAGGAAAUCCGGUUAUCUCUUGACCUUCACAGGCGAAUCCUAAACAUUGAGUGACAUGAGAAAAGCUUCGGUGUAUUGCUUGACAAAUUAGGAUCAAUCUACUUUCCUCAAACCUUGGCCACAAAUUGGGACCAAUUGCGACAGCCAUCGAACUUUCUAGACCAUCAGAAUUUUGCCGUUGCUAAUGACGUCAAAGAUUGGUUCGCUCAAACCUAAGCACUUAGUCUUUUGGAUUUGAUUUGUUGCUUAGUCUUUUGGAUUUGAUUUGUUGCACCAAUUUUACUCAUGAAUAUGAGUACCCAUUUUGAGGAAGUUCUUACACUGUUCUGAAAUGUUUCUUGUUGCCAAAAUUCUACGCCAUUUACAUACUUCAUCAUUACUUAAUAUCAUGUUGUUUGAAUAGCAUGGUUUUUCUUUUGUCCCUCAUUAUUGAGGUUUAUACAUUACGAAAAAGUACCAAUGCAUACGAACACUUCACUAACGACGAAAUGCGAGGUUUAAUGCCUUCAAAACUUGUUUAAGUUGUUUCAAACAAAAACAAAAAAAGACACCUGUGAGUAUUUAUUUGACAAGAAAGAAACAAUGUCAUUUGCUGCCUAUUUCUUUUGAACAAGUGCAUUAUAUGAACAUGUUGUGCCUGAGAAUGAUCAACUUUGCGAAAAAAAUCACGUGCUUCUCUGUCUUCUUUUUUUUUUAUGAGCAGUACCUAUCAUCCUUCUCUGGAUAUCGAAGCUCAAUUAAUGUAGAUCAAUCCAUGCAAUUCAAAGUUCAAGAAUUUGUGCAAUUCUCUGAAAAUUCCUCCCUGACUCAAUCAAUUUAAAUAGCUCACUCCUGGCCCAUGAAAUAGAACCAUUUAUCUUGAAAUCCUCUUACCCAGA
Tigriopus californicus is the source of this 2938-nucleotide long non-coding RNA. RefSeq lists it as uncharacterized. Lineage: Eukaryota; Metazoa; Arthropoda; Copepoda; Harpacticoida; Harpacticidae. The record is from RefSeq and is a predicted model, not a curated record. The transcript is spliced from 5 exons.